Molecule: ribosomal RNA, 587 nt
Filed under: Pseudocamarosporium lonicerae
Lineage: Eukaryota; Fungi; Ascomycota; Dothideomycetes; Pleosporales; Didymosphaeriaceae
Description: SSU rRNA
Rfam family: Eukaryotic small subunit ribosomal RNA
Source: RNAcentral
CAACUUUCGAUGGUAAGGUAGUGGCUUACCAUGGUUUCAACGGGUAACGGGGAAUUAGGGUUCGAUUCCGGAGAGGGGGCCGGAGGGAACGGCCACCACAUCCAAGGAAGGCAGCAGGCGCGCAAAUUACACAAUUCCGAUACGGAGAUGUAGUGACAAUAAAUACUGAUACAGGGCUCUUUUGGGUCUUGUAAUUGGAAUGAGUACAAUUUAAAUCUCUUAACGAGGAACAAUUGGAGGGCAAGUCUGGUGCCAGCAGCCGCGGUAAUUCCAGCUCCAAUAGCGUAUAUUAAAGUUGUUGCAGUUAAAAAGCUCGUAGUUGAACCUUUGGCCUGGCUGGCAGGUCCGCCUCACCGCGUGCACUUGUCCGGCCGGGCCUUUUCUUCUGGAGAACCGCAUGCCCUUCACUGGGUGUGUUGGGGACCAGGACUUUUACUUUGAAAAAAUUAGAGUGUUCAAAGCAGGCCUUUGCUCGAAUACGUUAGCAUGGAAUAAUAGAAUAGGACGUGCGGUCCUAUUUUGUUGGUUUCUAGGACCGCCGUAAUGAUUAAUAGGGACAGUCGGGGGCAUCAGUAUUCAAUUGUCAG